This 582-nucleotide ribosomal RNA is filed under the name Hansenula anomala. RNAcentral's name for it is "LSU rRNA". It matches the Rfam family "Eukaryotic large subunit ribosomal RNA", at positions 54 to 649 of the family's 3401-position model. The record is from RNAcentral. Lineage: Eukaryota; Fungi; Ascomycota; Saccharomycetes; Phaffomycetales; Wickerhamomycetaceae.
AGGAAAAGAAACCAACAGGGAUUGCCUCAGUAACGGCGAGUGAAGCGGCAAAAGCUCAAAUUUGAAAUCUAGCACCUUCGGUGUUCGAGUUGUAAUUUGAAGAUGGUAACCUUGGGUUUGGCUCUUGUCUAUGUUCCUUGGAACAGGACGUCAUAGAGGGUGAGAAUCCCGUCUGAUGAGAUGCCCAUUCCUAUGUAAGGUGCUAUCGAAGAGUCGAGUUGUUUGGGAAUGCAGCUCUAAGUGGGUGGUAAAUUCCAUCUAAAGCUAAAUAUUGGCGAGAGACCGAUAGCGAACAAGUACAGUGAUGGAAAGAUGAAAAGAACUUUGAAAAGAGAGUGAAAAAGUACGUGAAAUUGUUGAAAGGGAAGGGCAUUAGAUCAGACUUGGUGUUUUACGAUUAUCUUCUCUUCUUGAGUUGUGCACUCGUAUUUCACUGGGCCAGCAUCGAUUCGGAUGGCAAGAUAAUGGCAGUUGAAUGUGGCUUCACUUCGGUGGAGUGUUAUAGCUUCUGCUGAUAUUGCCUGUCUGGAUCGAGGGCUGCGUCUUUUGACUAGGAUGCUGGCGUAAUGAUCUAAUGCCGCC